UUUUGCGAAAAUCUUAUUACUUUUUCAAAAAUCUUCUUCUCUGAAACUACUUGGCCAAAUAUUUAGAAACUUUAAUUGAAUGUUCCUUAGGGUAUCUAGUUUAUAGAUUGUAUUUGGGAAUUUGAUCCAUUUAAAAACAUGGCGGCAGUUUCUAAAAAUAGAACAUAGGGUCAAAUGAAGUUUUUAUAUGACCGCAAAAAAAUUUUUGUGGUCGUAUAUUGGUAUGAAGUUGGCAUCGGCAGCGUUGUCCGGCGUCGUCGUCCGAAGACGCAUUAGUUUUCGCACUCUAACUUUAGUUUAAGUGAAUGGAUCUCUAUGAAAUUUUACCAUAAGGUUCAAUACCACAAAAGGAAGGUUGGGAUUGAUUUUGGGGGUUAUGGUACCAACAGUUAAGGAAUUAGGGGCCAAAAAUAAGCAUUUUUGUAAAUUCCAGACAUAACUUAUGUGUUAGUGUAUGGAUCUCUCUGACAUUGUACCAUAAGGUUCCUUAUCACAAAGGGAAUGCUGGGAUUGAUUUUGGGGGUAAUUGCUUCAAAAUUUUAGGAGUUAGGGGCCAAAAAAGGGGCAAAAAACAAGCAUUUUUCUAGUUUCAUGACAAUAACUUGUGUGUAAGUGUAUGAAUCUUUAUGAAAUUGUACUACAAGGUUCCAUAUCACAAAGGAAAAGCUGGGUUUGAGUUUUGGGGUAAUUGCCCAAAACGUUUAGGAAUUUGGGGCCAAAAAGGGGCCAAAAAACAAGCAUUUUUCUAGUUUCCAGACAAUGACUUGUGUUCAAGUGUGUGGAUCUCUCUGAAAUUGUACUGCAAGGUACCAUACCACAAAGAGAAGGCUGGGAUUGAUUUUGGGGGUAAUUGCCUCUAAAUUUUAGGAAUUAGGGGCAAAAAAGGUGCAAAAAAACAAGCAUUUUUCUAGUUUCAGGACAAUAACUUGUGUGUGAGUGUAUGGAUCUUUAAGAAAUUGUACUACAAGGUUCCAUAUCACAAAGGGAAAGCUGGGUUUGAGUUUGGGGGUAAUUGCCUUAAACGUGUAGGAAUUUGGGGCCAAAAAGGGGCCAAAAAACAAGCAUUUUUAUCGUUUCCAGACAAUGACUUGUGUUCAAGUGUAUGGAUCUCUCUGAAAUUGUACUGCAAGGUACCAUGCCACAAAGGGAAGGCUGGGAUUGAGUUUGGGGUGAUGAAUCAUAAGGGGGUUCCUUUUUAUACGACCGCAAAAAUUAAAAAAUUUUUGGUCGUACAUUGGUAUGACGUUGGUGUCGUCGUCGUCGUCGUCUGGCGUCGUCCGAAGACACAUUGGUUUUCGCACUCUAACUUUAGUUAAAGUGAAUGGAUCUCCAUGAAAUUUUACCAUAAGGUUCAAUACCACAUAAGGAAGGCUGGGAUUGAUUUUGGGGGUUAUGGUACCAACAGUUAAGGAAUUAGGGGCCAAAAAGGGGCCAAAAAUAAGCAUUUUUGUAACUUCAGACAAUAACUUGUGUGUAAGUGUAUGGAUCUCUCUGACAUUGUACCACAAGGUUCCAUAUCACAAAGGGAAGGCUGUAAUUGAUUUUGGGGGUAAUUGCCUCAAAAUUUUAGGAAUAAGGGGCCAAAAAAGGGGCAAAAAACAAGCAUUUUUCUAGUUUCAUGACAAUAACUUGUGUGUAAGUGUUUGGAUAUUUCUGAAAUUGUACUACAAGGUUCCAUAUCACAAAGGGAAAGCUGGAAUUGAGUUUGGGGGUAAUUGUCCGAAACGUUUAGGAAUUGGGGGCAAAAAAGGGGCCAAAAAUAAGCAUUUUUCUAGUUUCCAGACAAUAACUUGUGUUCAAGUGUAUGGAUCUCUCUGAAAUUGUACUGCAAGGUACCAUACCACAAAGGGAAGGCUGGGAUUGAGUUUGGGGGUGAUGAAUCAUAAGGGGGUUCAAAAAAUUUGGGGGGGGGGAUUUUUUUUCUUUUCUUUUUUUCCUUUUUUUUUUCUUUUAAAAUUUUCCAUUUUAAGUUGGUUAUUUCUGAUUUAUAUUUAAAAGCAAAUAAUAAUGAUAUGGUAGGAGAUACACACCAAACAGGAUGUGUAAAUUAUUAUAUAAUAAGUAUUGUGCAAUAGCAAGAAAUUUUCAAUAGCACAGUAUUGCACAAUAGCAAGAAAUCUUCAAUUGCACAGUAUUGCGCAAUAGCAAGAAAUCUUCAAUUGCACAGUAUUGCACAAUAGCAAGAAAUAUCCAAUAGCACAAUAUUGCACAAUAGCAAGAAAUUGUCAAUUGUACAGUAUUGCGCAAUAGCAAGAAAUAUUCAAUUGCACAGUAUUGUGCAAAAGAAGAUACUUCGUAUAAAUUGCUUAUUUCUUGAUCAAUUUCAAUGGGGUUUUAUUCUUGAAUUCUUGGGGUUCUUUAAUAUGCUGAAUCUAACUGUGUAUUAAGUUUUUGGAUUUUGGGACCCGUUUUUUAAUUGGUCCACAUUGAGGUCCAAAGGGUCCAAAAUUUAACUUUGUUUGAUUUCAUCAAAAAUUGAAUUAUUGGGGUUGUUUGAUAUGCCAAAUCUAACCGUGUAUUUAGAUUCUUAAUUUUUGGUUCCGUUUUCAAAUUGGUCUACAUUAAGGUCAAAAGGGUCCAAAAUUAAACUUAGUUUGAUUUUAACAAAAAUUGAAUUUUUAGGGUUCUUUGAUAUGCUGAAUCUAAACAUGUAUUUAGAUUUUUGAUUAUGGGCCCAGUUUUCAAGUUGGUCCAAAUCGGAGUCCAAAAUUAAACUUUGUUUGAUUUCAACAAAAAUUGAAUAUAUGGGGUUCUUUGAUAUGCUGAAUCUAACCAUGUAUUUAGAUUUUUGAUUUUUGGGCCCCGUUAUCAACUUUGUCCACAUUGAGGUCAAAAGGGUCCAAAAUUAAACUUUUUUUGAUUUCAUCAAAAAUUGAAUUCUUGGGGUUCUUUGAUAUGCUGAAUCUAACCAUGUAUUUAGAUUUUUUAUUUGUGGACCCGCUAUCAAAUUGGUUCAUAUUGAGGUCAAAAGGGUCCAAAAUUAAACUUUGUUUGAUUUCAACAAAAAUUGAAUAUAUGGGGUUCUUUGAUAUGCUGAAUCUAACCAUGUAUUUAGAUUUUUGAUUUUUGGGCCCAGUUAUCAACUUUGUCCACAUUGAGGUCAAAAGGGUCCAAAAUUAAACUUUGUUUGAUUUCAUCAAAAAUUGAAUUAUUGGGGUUCUUUGAUAUGCUGAAUCUAAACAUGUGUUUAGAUUUUUGAUUAUGGGACCAGUUUUCAAGUUUGUCCAAGUUGGGGUCCAAAAUUAAACUUUGUUUGAUUUCAACAAAAAUUGAAUAUAUGGGGUUCUUUGAUAUGCUGAAUCUAACCAUGUAUUUUGAUUUUGGACAUUGGACCAUAAUAGGUAAAUUAAAAAAAUUGAAGUUCUUAGACCACAUUCUUUCUGUGUCAGAAACCUAUGCUGUGUCAAAUAUUUAAUCACAAUCCAAAUUCAGAGCUGUAUCAAACUUGAAUGUUGUGUCCAUACUUGCCCCAACUGUUCAGGGUUCGACCUCUGCGGUCGUAUCAAGCUGCGCCCAGCGAAGCAUUUUAUUGUG
This is a long non-coding RNA of Mytilus californianus (California mussel), 3534 nucleotides long. RefSeq lists it as uncharacterized. The transcript has 3 exons. The record is from RefSeq and is a predicted model, not a curated record. NCBI's taxonomy places the organism in Eukaryota, Metazoa, Mollusca, Bivalvia, Mytilida, Mytilidae.